Oreochromis niloticus (Nile tilapia) is the source of this 1360-nucleotide RNA transcript. RefSeq lists it as uncharacterized. The record is from RefSeq and is a predicted model, not a curated record. Lineage: Eukaryota; Metazoa; Chordata; Actinopteri; Cichliformes; Cichlidae. The transcript has 7 exons.
GCGUCCGGAACAGCUGAUCAGAGUUAGUUUAAUCAACUCUGAGUAUGCCCACCCUGAGGUAAGCGCGUGCGUGAUACCAAUAAUAAAAAAAAAUCCAUCAUCAACAGAUCCUAUGAUUCAACAUGGAAACCGGGCAGAGAAAACGCUCGGCUUACUUCACCCCACUUGAAAUAGAUAUUCUGCUGGGUGUAUAUGGCGAGUACGAACACAUUUUUAGGAAGAAAGGCAACACGGCUGCAGCAGCAAAGGAGAGAGAACUGGCGUGGGAGAGAAUUGCAGCGCGGGUAAAUGCGUGCAAUCCCACGGGAACAAAAAGGACUUGGCAGCAGCUGAAAAUGAAAUAUAAAAACAUAGUUCAAACAGCUAACAGAAAGAAGGCAGAGGCUCGCAAAGUGGUUGAAGGGGCACCUUCAUCCAUGCUGAGGCAGAAGAGCUUGCCAAGAUUGCUGAUGGCCUUGUUGAGACUCCUACUUCAGCAGAAGCAUUUCCAACCCUUCCAUCUAGCAAGGCCGAACAUUAUCAAGAGGAAGCUCCAUCAACUACCCCAGCACAUAUUAACAAAUUACCAGUUAAAGAAAUAUACAAAAUGCACCUCAUCCAAACAAUGACAAAAACUGACAAAGAAAUCACAUACUUGGAUCGUCAGAUUAGAAAGACAGAUCUGGAAAUUGAAUUACUGGAGCACCAGUUAGAGCUCUUGCAUCAUGAACAUCUUCAGGGUGAACAGGAUCCUCUUCCCCAGGUUCAUCCACUCAUAUGGCAGGGUGCUGCUAAGAGAGGCAAUAUUAUGGAGAACAACACAUGCCACAAUGAUGCCACAUGCUCUCUCUGAUGAUACCUUGAGUCUAUGCAGGCACUGGAACCAGGAUUUGAAUCAUGUCCACCCAGAGAAGGGGAAGUUUAAUUACAGCAACAACAAUUCCAAGUAUAAUCAUGAAGUAUAACUGAAGGAUUUGUACAUCAAUCGCCUGCUGUGCUACAGAAUUCCUCUUUAAUACUCCUUCUUAGUUUAUGAGAUUUCUUAUUUGGAAUAGUACAAAAUUUUGUAGCUGAUGUUUAAGAGAAAAAUAAAUCUUUCUAACUGGUGCACAGACAGUCAUGUGUCAUACAGGAAACCCCUGAUGGUAACAAAGCGAAUUGCCACACAAAGAGAUUGGUCUGAUGUGAAAAGCACAACCUCGCUGUGUUAUAUUUGAUUUGUAUAAGGUUGGAGUGUGUUGUUGGUAAUGGUGACAUUCAACAAGAUGCUCAUCUGGGAAUGAAAAAAAAUUCUAAUCAGGGUGUCAUGCACAGAGAUCUGAAAGAUCUUCCAGGGAUAGUGAUACUAUAUUCUGUAGAACUGAUGGGUCAGUAGGCAGCA